GUCCUGGGGGUCCAUCUGAGGCUGUAACAAGAGAGUCUAGCCUGAUGAUGUGCCUUUCUAAAGGGCGAGGGCUUCUGGAGGCAGGAGGGAGAAUGGUUGGGGGGUGACAAUGAAGAGCAAGGAGGUCACCACCUCCCCUUCAGGCCCCUUGGUACAAGGGUAGUGGGACAGAAAACAAACCCAACCCAAGACGGCUACAGUGGAAGCUUGCUCUCAGAAAGGAGCCAGGUUUUGGUUAAAGGGAGAAUAGGAAAGGAAUAUUUAAAGAAGCUGAUGAUAUUUACUUUCUAUGCCCAGCACUCAGCUGGACACUGAGACAGUGAACAAAAGAGUGAAAUAUCCUCCCUCCUGGGCCUUAUGUUCCACCUGGUGAGACAGAGUAAACAAGAUUGAAAAAGUCAAAUAUAUAGUCUACUAGAUAGUGCUAAAUAUUAGGGGAAAAAAUAAAGCAGUGAAGAAAGAUCGAAGUGUCAGUAAUUGGGAGUUAAAACUAUAAUAGUUAGCUAAGACAGGCUCCCUGAGAAGAAGACAUUGAGUAAAGGCCUGAAGGAAAUUGGAGAGCUGACCAGAGACCUGGGGGUAAGAAGAACAGCAACUGCAAAGGCCCUGAGGUGACAGCAUGCCCACAAUGUCUGAGGAAGAGCGAGGAGGGGUCACCCGGCUCACUGGUGAUGCAGCUGGAAUAUCAACCCAGGCAAUCUGACUUUAGACUCCAAGCUUCGACCUACAAGAACUUACUUCAUCAGGAGCUAGAGUUACUGAGGAAUAUUAUCAGACCUGAUCCUCAAAUUUAGUAUUGGCAGUGUAAUGCUUUUAGGUUGUUUCCACAUCUUGGCUACUGUGAAUAAUGCUGCAAUGAACUUCUUGAGGAAAACUGAAGAUGGAGGCAGAGACUGCAGUCAGGCAGCUGCAAGGUGAGGAACACCACGGACUGACGGCACCAGCAGAAACGAGGAAGAGGCAAGAAAGGAUUCUACCCAGAGCCUCAGAGAGAGCAUGGCCCUGCUGACACCUCGAUUUCAGACUUGUAGGCUCCAGAACUGGAGAUAAUAAAGCUCUGUUUUUCUAAGCCA
This 1073-nucleotide long non-coding RNA is filed under the name Equus asinus (donkey). RNAcentral describes it as "lncRNA (ENSEASG00005027445.1)". The record is from RNAcentral. Lineage: Eukaryota; Metazoa; Chordata; Mammalia; Perissodactyla; Equidae.